Molecule: non-coding RNA, 94 nt
Organism: Mycena alexandri
Lineage: Eukaryota; Fungi; Basidiomycota; Agaricomycetes; Agaricales; Mycenaceae
Source: the annotation of a GenBank genome assembly
GACACUUUGGCCGAGUGGUUAAGGCGAUGCCCUGCUAUUUGCUUAGCUAAGGCAUUGGGGUUUCCCCGCGUGUGUUCGAAUCGCACAGGUGUCG